GACGAACGCUGGCGGCGUGCUUAACACAUGCAAGUCGAACGGAAAGGCCCUGCUUUUGUGGGGUUCUCGAGUGGCGAACGGGUGAGUAACACGUGAGUAACCUGCCCUUGACUUUGGGAUAACUUCAGGAAACUGGGGCGAAUACCGGAUAGGAGCUCCUGCUGCAUGGGGGGGGUUGGAAAGUUUCGGCGGUUGGGGAUGGACUCGCGGCUUAUCAGCUGGUUGGUGGGGUAGUUGCUUACCAGGGCUUUGACGGGUAGCCGGCCUGGGAGGGUGACCGGCCACAUUGGGACUGAGAUACGGCGCAGACUCCUACGGGAGGCAGCAGUGGGGAAUCUUGCACAAUGGGCGGAAGCCUGAUGCAGCAACGCCGCGUGCGGGAUGACGGCCUUCGGGUUGUAAACCGCUUUCGCCUGUGACGAAGCGUGAGUGACGGUAAUGGGUAAAGAAGCACCGGCUAACUACGUG
Molecule: ribosomal RNA, 468 nt
Filed under: uncultured bacterium
Lineage: Bacteria
Description: partial 16S ribosomal RNA
Rfam family: Bacterial small subunit ribosomal RNA
Source: RNAcentral